AAAUCUGAUGUCCAUGGAUAGUUCAAUUUUGGUUUGGUGCCCAAUUCGACACUUAGCAUUAUUAUGAACUUUAGUGCAAUAUUUAGUUCUGUUUUGACUUUUAAGCAAUAUUAUGUCAAUAUUUGGUAGCAGAGAGUAACAUAGUAACAUUUUAGUAUGAGUUUGAGUCAUGUAUUGAUUUAUUUUUCCUUGACCAUUAGUUUAUGCUUAGUGGUAACCUUGCGAAUAAACGUGGAUUGUUAGACUAUUGUAAAUUUAGUUGUUAAUAUUUUGAAGUUUAGAAAAAAAAUUUUAUGGAUAAAAUUUUUUUUCCCGAGUAGAAGGGGAUUGUAACGGUCACGUUACAAAAUUAGCUCUUUAAUUAUUUUUAUAAUUAUUUUCCUUCGCUCUCCCAUUUAAAUUCUCUAAUUCCUCGUAUAGGACCACUGACGUGACGUCAUACCUCGGUGAUGGAACAUACUCCACCUAUCGAGAAUUAUUUCGCGUUCGGUGAGUUUGACGUCGUACUCUUGGAAGGAGAGACGAAUGUUCAUCACUUGACAUGUGGCUGUAGGUGAAGUUGGUUGCUACCAUAGAAUAUUAGAAUGGCGGUUGGUUUUUUAUUUUAUAACAUCAGUGAAAAGAAAAAAAUUACCACAAAUGGUUUUCUACAGUAGGGUGGCAUGUGGGUAGAACAACCCCUCUUGGAAUCGGAAUAGAAAUCACCGCCAUUUUGGAGUAACCACAUGGUGAACUCAUAGCCCUUUGACACCUAGGGAAACCACUACAGCCACAGUCAAGUCAUCAUGGGAAUACGUCUUUUUGGGAACAAGCUAUGGGAGCGUUCCAGCUCAAUUUUCGUCUUGGCACCUGGGCCUACAUGAGUCAUGGGGUCGCACCAUCCUGGUGCAUCAUUUUCUAGGAUGCAACCGCAACCUCGUUUGGGAACAUUUAGUGAGGUGUUUUAGUAACUAUUGGUUUUUUUUAUAUUUCAGACUAUCUGUUAAAUACACUAUGUUUUUUUUCCAGAUUUAGGUUACCUCUGGUUUUUUUUAAUAUGACAUAUUUGUAUAUUAGAUUAUUUGGUUCCCAAACUUUGUAUCUACGGUAACUUCUUGUGCACAGGAAUAAGCCUAGAGAAAAUUAGGUUUUUAAUACUUUACUAUUGCUUUGAUAUUGGUUUAUGUAAUUCGGGUAAAUUUAUUUUUUAAUAUUACUAGCUUGUUUCCCAAAUAAUUUACUGUUAUUCGCUUUAUUCCAUUUGUUCGGUUAAUUUAGGUCAUCGUCGGUAUUUAUCUCAACUUCAUUUCUACUUUAGUCAAUUGUAUAUUUAACUUUAUUUAUUCAUUAUUGUAUUUUCCCUUAGUGAGGCUUGGGCCUAUUUAUUUGUAGUAUUUUCAUCUUUGUCAGUUUCCUUUAGUUGUACGUAGCAGGCGUACUAUAACCAUUUGGUAGAAGACUUAUGUAAUUUUGUACACUAUAUGUAAGUAAGAGGUACUAAUACCUGUAAUUUUGUAACAGAUAACAUUAUUGUUGUUAUCUUAGAGAUGACUUUUUGUAUAACUUAUGUCAUUUUAGAGUCACAUGAUAUACACUUUGUGUAACUCAGAGAUUGUCAAAAAUCUAGUAGUUAUUUUUAAUAAAUAUGUAUUUAUUUUGUA
This 1640-nucleotide long non-coding RNA is filed under the name Diabrotica virgifera virgifera (western corn rootworm). RNAcentral describes it as "uncharacterized LOC126885896". The record is from RNAcentral. Lineage: Eukaryota; Metazoa; Arthropoda; Insecta; Coleoptera; Chrysomelidae.